Molecule: long non-coding RNA, 723 nt
Filed under: Arachis ipaensis
Lineage: Eukaryota; Viridiplantae; Streptophyta; Magnoliopsida; Fabales; Fabaceae
Description: long non-coding RNA (AIPA_LNC000009)
Source: RNAcentral
UUUCUCAUAUAAUAAUAAUAAUAAUAAUAAUAAUAAUAAUAAUACAUCAUAUUAAAUCCUCCCAAUAUUUUCCUCAGAUCUAAAAUUAGGACCAAACAACAUGGCAAAAAGAUAGUGUAUAUAUGUAGUAUUAUUUGGUAUCUUUAAUAACUUGAAAUAAAUCUCAUUCAUUAAUUGAACCAAAUCCAUAACUAAAAUGAUAACUAAUAAACAUAUAUACAUGGUGCGAUUUCAAUGAAAACAUUAGAAUUAUGCAAAAAACAACUAGACCACCCUGAUUAACAAUUAAUUAAUAAUGUUAAGAAAUUAUUCAUAAAGAUUUACAAUUUUACUCAAAUUUUAUUGUGAAGAAUUACAACUUAACCAUUGAAAUGUAUUUGGCUUCCCAAAUCUUGGAGAGAAAAAAUGCCUAUAAUUUAGAACCCUAACCCUAACCUGAAAACCCCAUGAGAAAAAAAAAUGCAAAAAACAUUUUAUUAAUUUCUCAGAAACAUUAUAUUUUAUUUAUAACCCUUUGAUUAUCAAAUAUAUGAAAUAUGAACAAUACAAACAUUAAUCAACACGCUGCUAUAAUAAGUUAUUGAGUCACCAGCAGUAGCAAAGAGAGAGAAAAAAAAAAUGAAGUGUCAAUGUCUUCAUGAGAGUCAGAGAAGAACAGAAAGCGAUUGAAGAUCUAAUAUCCACACAAAUCUGGCAAAAAAAAUUUAUCUUUUAAAAAAAAAA